Molecule: long non-coding RNA, 1557 nt
Filed under: Drosophila guanche
Lineage: Eukaryota; Metazoa; Arthropoda; Insecta; Diptera; Drosophilidae
Source: RNAcentral
GCCAGUUUUUACACCAUUUGACCACUCUAUGAGUUGUUUGCUUAGUGCUGAUAGGCAACCACGCAAAUAGGCUGGGUGCCCCAUAUAACGACUUCUGUCGUAGCUGUAGAGACGAAGAUGAGGAGGAGACAGAAGAAAAUCUGUUCUGAUCCUGUCCGGCUCUCAGUAGAAGGAUGUUAAGAUGUCUGGGAUCACCAUUUCUAAACGACAUUUCAGAAAUGGCUACUAUAGGCCCCAGGAAGAUAUCAAACUUUGUGAGAGGAAACCCAACAACAAAACACUUGAACAUUGUACCAGAGUAGAGCGGGAUAAUUCAAACAUAAAAUCAAAUUAAAAUGGAACAAGGAUCAGGAAAUAGCGGUGGUAAGUAAUAUACAUGUUAUAUUUUAAUUGUUGUUACAAACUAACAUUAGUAUUUCUCAAUUUCGCAGAGAAGAAGAGAACAGCAGGAGCAGGGUGAAAUUGUCAUCGGAGAUGAAGGGCCUGCUGAUAGACCUGUGGCAGGAGAAUAUUGAAGAUCUAUGUGGAGCCCGAAAUUAAUUCCUACGUCUACAUGGAGAUUGCACAGGCCAUGAAGGAAGCUGGGCCCGAGAUUGGAUGGAGAGGUUCGAUGGAAAGUCGAAAACAGAUAUCCCUUCUAUUAUCUCCUCCUCGUCAAUUUUGUCCUCUUCGUCAUCAUGACAAGCAACAUUAUUAGCUUAUGCAAGAAAAUAUUCUGCUGCUGAAUAACACUCAUAACCAUUGCUAUAUUAUUAUUAUUCAUUUUAACUUUAGGAAUUCAACAAAUUUUCCCCUGCCCGAAAUUGUGAGCAUCAGUGGUUUUAUCAAGAAUGGUGGAUGGUGCCAAUUUGAACUAAAGUUUCACAUCUUUUAAAAAAUCUCAACGUUCCCCUUGGAUGGGCUCAGUGUGCAGAGCCUGUUACCUUCCGUUUCUAGGUGCUCUGCCAUUGGCAAAAUUUGAAUUGAUACGCUCAAUUUUCUCAUCGUUUCUGACAGACAAAAACAGCUGACCCGGCUACUUCAUAAAAACAUCGCGUGAAUAAAAAGUAGGUAAUACAACAUGAACAUUUUAAAUUCAAUUGUUAAUAGUUUUUUUUGGUAAAGCCUAGUACUCAGGUCGUAAAAUAGGGGUCGAAAAAAAAAUCAGGGAUGAUAUUCGUAUGGAACCGAUAAGAAAAUGUUGUGCGCACAAGCACUAACGAAAUAGUAUAGGUUGGUUGCGGACAAAAUGUUUUUUCCAAAUGUUUUCAAAAUGUUUAUUUUUUUAAAACAGGCAACUAUUAUGUAGCAAACUAUUAAAAAUUAAAUUAUGAAACAGUUAUUAUGUUUUUUCACAGUGCCUUCAAAUGAUUAAUCAGCACACUCCAUUGUCGUUGCCCUCACACUUACAGCGAGAGCCCUUUCACCCGUACUUUUCAUUUGCACGUUUGCCUAAUUUUUUCCGACGAGACCUCCUUAUAUAGUUGCUUUAUGGCAACAAUGCCGAUGAAGUUAAAAGAUAAAUGAACACCGUGCGUCUAAACUAGCUUAAGGCCAUCAAACGGCAGAAAAGGAAAC